This 420-nucleotide unclassified non-coding RNA is filed under the name uncultured Inocybe. Its description in RNAcentral is "sequence contains ITS2". The stretch from base 1 to 154 matches the Rfam family "5.8S ribosomal RNA". Lineage: Eukaryota; Fungi; Basidiomycota; Agaricomycetes; Agaricales; Cortinariaceae. The record is from RNAcentral.
AACUUUCGGCAACGGAUCUCUUGGCUCUCGCAUCGAUGAAGAACGCAGCGACAUGCGAUACGUAAUGUGAAUUGCAGAAUUCAGUGAAUCAUCGAAUCUUUGAACGCAUCUUGCGCUCCUUGGUAUUCCGAGGAGCAUGCCUGUUUGAGUGUCAUUUAACUUCACAACCAUAUCGAUUUUUGAUGUGGCUUGGAUGUGGGGGUUGUGCAGGCCUCUGACCCUGAGGUCGGCUCCCCUGAAAUGCAUUAGUGGUAUCUGAGCAGAACUACUAUACCAUUUAGGUGUGAUAAGUUAUCUAUGCCUUUGGUAUGCUGCAUGAACGGAUUGCACCGCUUCUAACAGCCCAAUAUAUUUGACAAAUUUGACCUCAAAUCAGGUAGGACUACCCGCUGAACUUAAGCAUAUCAAUAAGCGGAGGCU